GACGAACGCUGGCGGCGUGCUUAGCACAUGCAAGUCGAACGGAAAGGCCCUGCUUUUGUGGGGUGCUCGAGUGGCGAACGGGUGAGUAACACGUGAGUAACCUGCCCUUGACUUUGGGAUAACUUCAGGAAACUGGGGCUAAUACCGGAUAGGAGCUCCUGCUGCAUGGUGGGGGUUGGAAAGUUUCGGCGGUAGGGGAUGGACUCGCGGCUUAUCAGCUUGUUGGUGGGGUAGUGGCUUACCAAGGCUUUGACGGGUAGCCGGCCUGAGAGGGUGACCGGCCACAUUGGGACUGAGAUACGGCCCAGACUCCUACGGGAGGCAGCAGUGGGGAAUAUUGCACAAUGGGCGGAAGCCUGAUGCAGCAGCGCCGCGUGCGGGAUGACGGCCUUCGGGUUGUAAACCGCUUUCGCCUGUGACGAAGCGUGAGUGACGGUAAUGGGUGAAGAAGCACCGGCUAACUACGUG
This 468-nucleotide ribosomal RNA is filed under the name uncultured bacterium. RNAcentral describes it as "partial 16S ribosomal RNA". It matches the Rfam family "Bacterial small subunit ribosomal RNA", at positions 28 to 507 of the family's 1533-position model. The record is from RNAcentral.